UUUUUUUUUCUUUUUUUUUUUGUUUCUUUGUUGAGCGUGUAAAAGACGAGCAUGUUGUUUUGUAAUAGACGUUGAGUCUGAUGUAGGUGGAGCAUAUUUCACGCUAUACACGUAAAAAUGUACACUUAACGGAAGUUGCACUUGUUACAACAUAGUUCACGCUUUAGUUGAGUUGCGUCAAGUAGAUCGAAUACCUCAGGUUGCAUAUUAUAUAAGUUGAUCGAUAGACGUGGUUCGUGAAAAUCAUAUAUACAUACACCCCAUAUCAUAAGGUGCGAAACAUACCUCAAAGAUACCUGUAUAUACUAAACUACUGAUCAUCCAAGCAUUAGUGACAUCAAUUAAUAAUAAUGAUAACAAUAUUAAUAAUAAUAUUAAUAAUAAUGAUAAUGUUAAUUAUAAUGAUAAUGAUAAAACUAUUAUCACGACAGCGAUAUAGGCACAAUCGUUCCUGCGAAGCUUCAGAUUCCCUAGGCAUCGUACGCGUAACAUAAUAUUCAGGACGAUCCAUAUACUUAUAGAAAUUCAUUGACAUCCAACUACGUUAAUUCCUUCGUGACCACGGUAUCGUUUUCUACGUAUACACAGUUCCAGGCAAUUUCUAUCGUCGUUACGUUGUAUCAGUUGUCUGCUUUCCUUUUAAGAAUUAUCCUUUAAGGUUGGUACACUUAUAAUCGUGUCCAUCGCAAUUUUUCAGAAAUAAAGAAAACGACGAACUCCUCGUUCAUUUGUCAUCGAAUAGAAGUUAGAGUUUGAAUUAUAGAUGGAAAUAUUUUAUAUAUAUGAAGAAAUAAAAGAUGUUAAUCGUUCGAUCGAAAACUAAAAAAAUAAAUCGCGCAGAUAUGAUCGCUGAAAUAACUGAUUCUCGAAUGAAAAAUCUGUUUCAAACAGUUUCAACGAUAUUUUUUAACGAAUUUUUGUGCUUCGAUUCUGUUCUAUUUCGCGACAAAAUAGUGCGUUAUUGAAUGUGCGUUAAAGGAAAAGAAUGAUGUUCACUGUAUUUAGGUGGAGGCACGAAGGGGUUAAAGAUAAAUAUAUCGCUAUAUUACAUGCGCGUUGCAUCAAUUGUGUGCCUUAUUCUGCGGCUGCCAUUUUUGUAACCAUUUCAGAGCAUACUCCUCGAUAAGACAAUAAGGGCUGUCGAGUGAUUUGUGAACAGUUGAAAAUUUGUUAAAUUAAGAAAGCGAUGGCGAUAAAAGGCGGAGCUUGUUGCGCUCCGUGGAAAUGACGAUUUUAUCUGAGCAUGCAUACCGAAACGAGUACAUUGAUUUUUUCAUACGUCAACUAACAUGUUCAUUGCGUAUUUACAACAAACAUGCAUACAUCCAUAAGCAUAUAGGCAUUAACAUUGCAUCUUGCACGAGUCAUGUUAUCGUAUAAUUACAUUUUAGUUGAAGUAAAAGUAAACGUGUAAGGAAUAAGUGUACUUGAAUUUUCUUGUGUUUUUGCUUAAGAAAUAUGAAUAAAAUGUUUCAAUUAAUUUGUAUUAUAAUUUCGUUCAUCACCGAAAUAGACUUCGUUUGUGAACGAAUACAUUUUUUUAUUCGCACUUGUUGCGAAUAACAAGUAUAAUCUAAAAGUACGCUAUCGAUUUUCUAAAUUAUCGUUCAUUCUCAUUAUUUUCAUUCUUAUGAACAGAAAUGGGCAAACUCUCGAUUUCAAUAUACGUAUCUGCCAAAAAUUAUAUCUCACCGAUAAUUUAUUUUACUCGCCAUUGUAUUUGAAAUUAAAUAUCGUUUCAUUUCAUCUAUUUUGUAAACCAAAGAUUCGAAAUAUUAUUUUAAAUCGAUCUAUUUCAAAUUUGAUCUAUACUUCGAAUAGACGAAAGUAUCAGGUAAAUAAAUGCACAUGACGCGAUGGAAUCUUAUUGGUUCGCCGAGUCCUGGUAAGCAGUGUAUCGUAGUUGGCAUUUCCUAAGAAUAAUUAUUGGAAACGUUGAAACUAACAACGUUUUACAUUUUUUAAUAAUUCAUUCCGUUGAAGAUAUAUACUCAAAUUUUGCCCAUCUCUGACGUCACUGAUAUAAUCGAACGCACGGUAGCGCCACCAGUUGCAAAGAGAUAAACUGAUAGGACCGCUAAAAAGAGCAAACGGCCACGAGGGUGAUAAGGAUGAUAAGGACAAUUGUCGUUAAAAAGAGAAAGGCAAGCAUACUGUGGCUAUGAAACAUUGUUAUGUAGACAGGCACACGCAGAUCCUUGACGAAAGAGAGAGAGAGAGAGAGAGAGAGAGAGAGAGAGAGUUUCCAUAGCAUAAGUAACGCAGCUCUGUACAAUGUGGUAGAUACAAUGCAUUCCUUUACAAGAUAUGAUAAUAGAUAAAAAAUUCAACCUGCAAACGUCCUUUGGCCAUUGUGGUACGGUCAACUAGUGGCGCUAUCUAUGACAAUCACUUCGUUGGUUAGGUUAUAUGCGAAUACUUGCAGAAUACUUUGCAGAAUGCACGUAAUAUCUUCGAUCAGUUUCACAAAGUAAUAAAUAUUGCAUUAAAAAUGCCCACAUGUGUUAUCUGUUGAAUUUAUAUAACGUAUUUGUUGUAUGUUACAGGAAGGGUAAUAUAUAUAUUGUUACAGUCACAAUUCCACUAAUAAAUAUUGUAUUUUACAGGUUUACAAGAAAUUGUGUACGAUAGCUGUGAAAUUACAUUAAUCCAUGUUUACGUUUGCUGUAUAUCAAACAACAGAAUGCCAAUGCUGCAUGUAAAGCCAAUAGCAGAUGCUGUUCUAUACGUACGUAAGAUCAUACAUAUUUGAUACAUGACAUGAUUUAUUCCUUAAUGUAUCAAUAUGCUUUGAUACGUUUAAAGAUAAAUUUUCCAUUCAAAGCAGCAGUCGAAAUACUUAAAGAAAAAAUACAGUACUUUUAAAGCAUACGGUUAAAGAAAUAUCGAAGCAAUAUACAGAACAUGUAUAUAAACCAGAAUUAAAAUUGUUUGCGUUGA
This is a long non-coding RNA of Hylaeus anthracinus, 2940 nucleotides long. RefSeq lists it as uncharacterized. Lineage: Eukaryota; Metazoa; Arthropoda; Insecta; Hymenoptera; Colletidae. The transcript has 2 exons. The record is from RefSeq and is a predicted model, not a curated record.